ACAAUCGAGUUGAUCAGACGUACCACAUGUGCUUCGAGCAAAACUACUUCGGUGCAAAGUCCGAGAGAGUGAAAAGCGGUAACCCGCUAAAACCGAAGGCCGUAAGCAAGUCCGUGUAUCAAUUUUCGGGCGGAAUUCAGCAGCGGAAAACGCAUCCGACCCUCAUCGUUGCAGACGGGCAAAACCGUCGGACGAACUUUUCACCAGCGAGGUGUGAUUUCUCGAACAAGAUUCAUCACUCGAUCUGCGCGACGGGUGCCCAAGACGACGAAGCGGGUCAUCAUUGUCGUGCAGCAGGAUCAAACGCAUUGGUUGGCAAACGCGAUUGUCACGUGAGAUUCCGCAAUCCUAUAAAACUCCGAUCAAAGCAGGUUUUCACGGUGGAAGGAAGCCAGGGAUCAAAAACCAAGCAAGGUGCAUACCAGUAGCGCACGUGAGCGUGCCCGCACAACAUAACCUCUCACAGCAACAAGAAAAGCCCUCACCAGAGGGCCUCAGUUUUGGAGUGGAUUCUUCAGUUCGGCGCAGUUCGUCUCAGCCUCGGAGCAGGUUUCUCCGUCUCGGAGCGGACGUCUCAAAUUCCCGUGCAGAUCUGUCGUACACGGAGUAGAGCUACGACGGCGAAACGAGGCAACUUGGUUCCGGAGCAGACCCUCCACGGUGAGACCAAGCAACUCGGUUCCGGAUUGGCUUUAGUUAGCACGUCGCACACGCGGGGAAAUGGAGAGCAGGGGAUGCUGCACUCUUCGACCAGAUACCAUCUGCAAGAAGAAGCAUGCGUCGCACCAGUCGACGUGUCAUAUUGGCUGCAUGAUGCCGAUCGGAAGUUUGAUCUCACGAACGGAGUUGAGCGUGUGCGGAGCACGCGAAGUGUCAACCAUCGAAGGGAUACGCGCAGUGCCACACGCAGUAAGAAAAGGGCCGUGAGUAGGUAGCAAUUAAGAGUGACAGUGUGAAAUUUAGUCCCUAAGCAUGACAGGUCA
Long non-coding RNA from Topomyia yanbarensis, 983 nucleotides. RefSeq lists it as uncharacterized. The transcript is spliced from 4 exons. The record is from RefSeq and is a predicted model, not a curated record. NCBI's taxonomy places the organism in Eukaryota, Metazoa, Arthropoda, Insecta, Diptera, Culicidae.